UACGAAGGGGGCUAGCGUUGCUCGGAAUCACUGGGCGUAAAGGGUGCGUAGGCGGGUCUUUAAGUCAGGGGUGAAAUCCUGGAGCUCAACUCCAGAACUGCCUUUGAUACUGAGGAUCUUGAGUUCGGGAGAGGUGAGUGGAACUGCGAGUGUAGAGGUGAAAUUCGUAGAUAUUCGCAAGAACACCAGUGGCGAAGGCGGCUCACUGGCCCGAUACUGACGCUGAGGCACGGAAAAGCGUGGGGAGCAAACAGGGA
RNAcentral lists this ribosomal RNA (257 nucleotides) under uncultured bacterium. RNAcentral describes it as "partial 16S ribosomal RNA". It matches the Rfam family "Bacterial small subunit ribosomal RNA", at positions 524 to 778 of the family's 1533-position model. The record is from RNAcentral.